RNAcentral lists this ribosomal RNA (440 nucleotides) under uncultured bacterium. RNAcentral's name for it is "partial 16S ribosomal RNA". It matches the Rfam family "Bacterial small subunit ribosomal RNA", at positions 338 to 795 of the family's 1533-position model. The record is from RNAcentral.
CCUACGGGAGGCUGCAGUGGGGAAUAUUGCACCAUGGGGGAAACCCUGAUGCAGCGACGCCGCGUGAGUGAAGAAGUAUUUCGGUAUGUAAAGCUCUAUCAGCAGGGAAGCAAAUGCCGGUACCUGAUUACGAAUCCCCGGCUAACUACGUGCCAGCAGCCGCGGUAAUACGUAGGGGGCAAGCGUUAUCCGGAUUUACUGGGUGUAAAGGGAGCGUAGACGGCAGCACAAGUCUGGAGUGAAAUGCCGGGGCUUAACCCCGGAACUGCUGUGGAAACUGUGAAGCUAGAGUGGAGGAGAGGUAAGUGGAAUUCCCAGUGUAGCGGUGAAAUGCGUAGAUAUUAGGAGGAACACCAGUGGCGAAGGCGGCUUACUGGACCGAAACUGACGUUGAGGCUCGAAAGCGUGGGUAGCAAACAGGAUUAGAUACCCUUGUAGUC